This is a long non-coding RNA of Lycium barbarum (goji berry), 521 nucleotides long. RefSeq lists it as uncharacterized. The record is from RefSeq and is a predicted model, not a curated record. Lineage: Eukaryota; Viridiplantae; Streptophyta; Magnoliopsida; Solanales; Solanaceae. The transcript is spliced from 3 exons.
CGAUUUCCUCUACCUUGCCACCUAGCUCGAAGGCUAAGAGGUUAGAGUUUUUUUUUUUUAAAUCGCCAAAAGUCUAUUUACAUGUAUAUCUUCACUUGUAUGUACAUACUUAUUGAUAUAUAUACAUACAUGUGGUAGUUCCUUAAUAGGAAGAAUAGUUUUUCUCCACUCUUUUUUCUCUCAUACUGCACACAGAGACUCAUGCCAACAAUUUGGCUAAAAGAAAUACUGGAUUAUGGUCUCUCAUGCUUUUCUACGGAUCUUUGAGUGUGUAAAGCCGCAUAAACCUCUUGCCGGAUAAGUUUCAAACUGACAGGAAAAACCAUAUCUCUAGGUCCAUCAAAUUCCAAUUUUUUCUAUACUCUGUUCUUUUAAGUUAUGAUUUGAUUUUCUUAUUAGGCUCUUUUUUUUUUUUUCUUUUGUGAUGUUGCAACAACGUUUUAUAUCCGUGAUUUAUCAUCCGGUUAGAUUCUAGACAAUUUUGGGUGAAUCAUAUUUAAUUUAUUCUUUAAGUUACUCUA